AGAGAGGUGUCCGAGAGGUUUAAGGUGCAAUCUUGGAAAGGUUGUGUGGGGGUAACACUCCACCGUGGGUUCGAAUCCCAUCCUCUCUG
This 89-nucleotide transfer RNA is filed under the name Clostridium sp. CAG:813. RNAcentral's name for it is "transfer RNA-Ser(GGA)". It matches the Rfam family "tRNA". From Rfam's summary of the family: Transfer RNA (tRNA) molecules are approximately 80 nucleotides in length. Their secondary structure includes four short double-helical elements and three loops (D, anti-codon, and T loops). Lineage: Bacteria; Bacillati; Bacillota; Clostridia; Eubacteriales; Clostridiaceae. The record is from RNAcentral. RNAcentral also lists the same sequence under 3 other names.